This 252-nucleotide ribosomal RNA is filed under the name uncultured bacterium. Its description in RNAcentral is "partial 16S ribosomal RNA". It matches the Rfam family "Bacterial small subunit ribosomal RNA", at positions 524 to 773 of the family's 1533-position model. The record is from RNAcentral.
UACGAAGGGGGGCUAGCGUUGCUCGGAAUGACUGGGCGUAAAAGGGCGCGUAGGCGGCGCAUUUAGUCAGGCGUGAAAUUCCUGGGCUCAACCUGGGGACUGCGCUUGAUACGGGUGUGCUUGAGGAUGGAAGAGGCUCGCGGAAUUCCCAGUGUAGAGGUGAAAUUCGUAGAUAUUGGGAAGAACACCGGUGGCGAAGGCGGCGAGCUGGUCCAUUACUGACGCUGAGGCGCGACAGCGUGGGGAGCAAAC